CACUACAGGUGUGCCAGCAGCCGCGGUAAUACGGAGGAUCCGAGCGUUAUCCGGAUUUAUUGGGUUUAAAGGGAGCGUAGGUGGAUUGUUAAGUCAGUUGUGAAAGUUUGCGGCUCAACCGUAAAAUUGCAGUUGAAACUGGCAGUCUUGAGUACAGUAGAGGUGGGCGGAAUUCGUGGUGUAGCGGUGAAAUGCUUAGAUAUCACGAAGAACUCCGAUUGCGAAGGCAGCUCACUAGACUGUUACUGACACUGAUGCUCGAAAGUGUGGGUAUCAAACAGG
Molecule: ribosomal RNA, 282 nt
Filed under: Bacteroides ovatus
Lineage: Bacteria; Pseudomonadati; Bacteroidota; Bacteroidia; Bacteroidales; Bacteroidaceae
Description: partial 16S ribosomal RNA
Rfam family: Bacterial small subunit ribosomal RNA
Source: RNAcentral